This is a long non-coding RNA of Papio anubis (olive baboon), 1348 nucleotides long. The record is from Ensembl. NCBI's taxonomy places the organism in Eukaryota, Metazoa, Chordata, Mammalia, Primates, Cercopithecidae.
AUGUGGAGUUCCACCAGCCAAACAAAGAAAGUUUUCCAAGGAGGAGGGAAUUAUCUGUUCUGUCAAGUGCUACUGACAUGCAAGAUGCUUCGCUCUGAGGUUCUGAGCCUGUUCCUAAGGAGAACUAUUCUAUUGAAGCUUCACUUCGUUUCUUGCAGGAUGGAGCUUCCAGGAUAGAGCUUCUUUUCUUCCUCAUGGCCUUGACCACCUAGAAUGCCGCUAGAAUGGAGGUGAAACUGCAGUACAUAUAUGGAGGGUUUGGAGGGUGGCUUAAGGAUAAAACAGGAAAGAGAGAGGCAGAUUGUAAGAAAUGAGACUAGCACUCAAUCAUUUGAAGCUUACUGAAAGAUGGUAUGAUAUUAAAAGUUAACAUUCAAAGUUGUCCUGUCUUCUUACUGUGGAAAUGUUUAUAAUCAGCCAUCAGAGAAUAAGAAUGUUGUCUGAUAAUGGACUAUACUUUCAUGGUCACCCAGGUAUUGCAGUGUAUAGUUGAGAGUUUAAAUAGGCACGUGAUUAAGACAUAUAUGAAACAUCUUUAAAUUUUCUUUUUUAGAAUAAGUUCUCAGAAUUGGGACUUCUAGGUCAAUGGCUAUGAUUAUGUUUGUGGUUCUUGAUAUAUCACCACAUUAUUCCUAAACAGGCUCUGUGUAUCAAUUUACUUAGCCCUCCGAGAGCAUCAUCUGAGGCCUAUCUCACCAGACUGGUUGAUAUUUAAAACACAGUUUAAAUUCUUACAUCCCAGGAUUGAACUGGAGACUGAUUGUCUAAGUGAUCAUCUGCUAAGUCUGGAUAAAAGCACACACUGAACACCUUCACUGUUGAUCCACAGUCUAAAACCCCAAAUAGAGCAUGCUACUCCCCUGCUUAGGGCAGUCCUCCUGCACAUGUAACUUUUUGGCAACCUUAUGAAUUCUAUGUCUACCACGUAGGCAGAUUCCAGAUUCCAAAUGGCUGAUGUGAGAAAAGAUAGCUUCCAAUUAAAAGUGGCACUCCCAGGCCACAUCCAACCGUAGACAUAUGGUCUCAAGCCUAGAAGAAAUUAUUGCAAAUUCUGCAAGCUACUCUAAUUUUGGUUAUUUUUUUUAGGGGUUAAUAUUGUGAUUAAAAUGUUUAUCUCAUUAGUUUUUGGUUUACAAAUUUCCAAUAUCUAUGGACAAUCUGCUAUGACCCAUGAGGCUUUAGAAAAUCCCUCACUUCUCUUUUUCCUGUCUUAAUAUAGUUAUAUUAUUAUUUUUAAUUCCUCUGUGACUUUUAUAACUUCACAUAAUGUAUGAAAUAUUUAUACCUUAUUCUGUCCAUGCAUAAUUUUCAAAUUUCAAAAAUGAAGGUAUACUAGCAUCUCUAUUAU